UGGGCAACCUGUCUCUAGCUCUGGGAUAACUCCGGGAAACCGGGGCUAAUACCGGAUACGACCUCGAGCGGCAUCUAUCGAGGUGGAAAGUUUUUCGGCUAGAGAUGGGCCCGCGGCCUAUCAGCUUGUUGGUGAGGUAACGGCCCACCAAGGCGACGACGGGUAGCCGGCCUGAGAGGGCGACCGGCCACACUGGGACUGAGACACGGCCCAGACUCCUACGGGAGGCA
This 230-nucleotide ribosomal RNA is filed under the name uncultured bacterium. RNAcentral describes it as "partial 16S ribosomal RNA". It matches the Rfam family "Bacterial small subunit ribosomal RNA", at positions 118 to 350 of the family's 1533-position model. The record is from RNAcentral.